CCUCAGGUCAGGCGGGACCACCCGCUGA
RNAcentral lists this ribosomal RNA (28 nucleotides) under Byblis rorida. Its description in RNAcentral is "partial 28S ribosomal RNA". The record is from RNAcentral. Lineage: Eukaryota; Viridiplantae; Streptophyta; Magnoliopsida; Lamiales; Byblidaceae.